Molecule: small nucleolar RNA, 107 nt
Organism: Dioscorea cayenensis subsp. rotundata (Guinea yam)
Lineage: Eukaryota; Viridiplantae; Streptophyta; Magnoliopsida; Dioscoreales; Dioscoreaceae
Source: RefSeq, a predicted model, not a curated record
AAUCCGUGUUGUGGACACUUCCACAAUAGGUCCUUGAAUCACUCCCAUGUCUCAAAGAAGGACUCGAGCUCCAUUUGAAUGAAUGAUGAUAUCUCAUUGUGAAGCUU